GCUUCCGCUGACGCAGCGCCGGCCUGCGCCUCAUGACUAUGCAGCAGAGCUGAGGGGCGGGGCCUGAGACGAGUGCGUCUAUUGGUCGCCAGCUGCCUGUGGCCCCGCCCCCUCGUGAAGGCCGCGCCCCGCCCAGGGCCUGGUGGUGGGCUCUGGAGGUGGUUGUGUAUUUCGCCGCCCUCGCCUGGCCUUCCUGCCUUACACCCUCAGGCUCUUCAGGCCGCAACUGUGUAGCACGCUGUGCUCACCUUCCUCCAACAGAGCUGCACCCCUCCUGAGAGCAAACUGAUGGUUUGUAACUCCCCCAUCCUUACUCCUUCUCAACCAUUGCCCUCUCUGGGCAUCUCUCCUUUCUUGAAGCACUUUGAAGGACCCUUCAAUCCCGUGAGCCCUCUGGAGAGUUGGGUAGGAUGUGAGCCAUGCAUGCCCAGGGUACCCAAACCUGGGCCACAGAGCCGAUCUCUCCCCAGUGCUGAGAAGCCAUACAAGGCCAAGUCCGGAAGGGAGCUAGACAGAUACAAGGAAUGAUGGGUGAUGUCAGACAGCCCGGCUGGCACCUCAGCCAAGAUGGGUUGGAGAGAUGGCUCAACACUGACUACUCUUCCAGAGAACCUGGGUUCAAUUCCCAGCACCCACAUGAAAGCUACCAACUGUCUGUAACUCCAAGAUCUGACGCUCUCACACAGGCAUACAUGCUGGAGAGAUGGCUCGGAGGUUAAGAGCACUGACUGCUCUUCCAGAGGUCCUGAGUUCAAUUCCCAGCAACCACAUGGUGGCUCACAACCAUCUGUUAUGAGAUCUGGUGCCCUCUUCUUGUGUGCAGAUAUACAUGGAAGCAGAAUGUUGUAUACAUAAUAAGUAAAUAAAAAAAUAAUGUUUAAAAAAAUAUCUUUCAUUU
Molecule: long non-coding RNA, 898 nt
Filed under: Cricetulus griseus (Chinese hamster)
Lineage: Eukaryota; Metazoa; Chordata; Mammalia; Rodentia; Cricetidae
Description: lncRNA (ENSCGRG00015016545.2)
Source: RNAcentral